Astyanax mexicanus (Mexican tetra) is the source of this 270-nucleotide long non-coding RNA. RefSeq lists it as uncharacterized. The transcript has 3 exons. The record is from RefSeq and is a predicted model, not a curated record. NCBI's taxonomy places the organism in Eukaryota, Metazoa, Chordata, Actinopteri, Characiformes, Acestrorhamphidae.
CAUCUUCUUUCAUCCUCUCAUCCUCCUCCUCACUGACUUCUCUCUCAAGGCUUUUAUUCUCCACAAUGCUCUUUGCUAAUAGAUCAGAGGUGGGAGUACAAGAAUUUGAUGCAAACCAAACCAACUGCACAAGAUCCUUGAGAUUCGAGACCUAAAUGAAUUUCUGCAUGGUCUGUUUGUGCAGGCGGAGAGCAGAGCAGCCUUGAAGCUGCACCUCCUCACUUUCAGGAAAUGUCUUCAUAGCCUCCACCACCAGCUCAAACACAUCCA